GGUGAAAAUCAAAGAAUAUAAAAUCCUGAAGGUGGACGAUACGCACCUUGAGGGGCAAUCUGGCUGAUGCCGAUGUUGAACAAUGUUUGAACUUAUAGCAACUCCUUCAGCUCCAGGAUCUUGAAGUCGUGCAUGGUUGCCAACUCUUGCCUCAGGCAUUCAUUUAUUGAAGGCUCUUUUAGUGCAGUCUCUUAAGGUUUACCCCAAGCAACGAAGCCCCCCUCCUCGCCG
Molecule: long non-coding RNA, 231 nt
Filed under: Elaeis guineensis (African oil palm)
Lineage: Eukaryota; Viridiplantae; Streptophyta; Magnoliopsida; Arecales; Arecaceae
Description: long non-coding RNA (EGUI_LNC004459)
Source: RNAcentral